UGAAUAUGGAUCCAGCAUGAAGGUCAGUACCUUCUAACUGUGCAACCGGCACUUCUCAUGGUGUUCUUUAUCAACUAACUAGUAGUUAGACAUAACUAAUCAUUGUGAACAUAACAAAUCAUUGUGAACCUUUUCAAAGGAUGCAAAUUUUACUGAUAGUUACAAUAAGCUGAUUAAAAUCAGUAAUGAAAAUCAACUCCAUUUACAGUUUCUUAUUUCCAGCUAACUAGAAAGUUUGCAUAUAUUUUGGUUGUUUGUUUGCUUGGUUUUUCCUUAGAAAAUUCAAUCAAGCCACUUGACAUGUUAGUAUGACCUUAUUUCAUGUUAAUGUUCUGUAGGGAAGGCAGCAGACGGGAACGG
This 360-nucleotide unclassified non-coding RNA is filed under the name Hevea brasiliensis (rubber tree). The record is from RNAcentral. Lineage: Eukaryota; Viridiplantae; Streptophyta; Magnoliopsida; Malpighiales; Euphorbiaceae.